AAUACUCUGUAGAUGUGUUUGUUCAACCGGUGGACCAAAGCAUGAAAGACAGGUACAAAAAUAAAUUCUCUUUCACAACCCAGAGCUCAUUGUUCUGCAUGAGUUAGACACAUACAAGAAGGAAUAUG
Nannospalax galili (Upper Galilee mountains blind mole rat) is the source of this 128-nucleotide small nucleolar RNA. The record is from Ensembl. Lineage: Eukaryota; Metazoa; Chordata; Mammalia; Rodentia; Spalacidae.